Etheostoma spectabile (orangethroat darter) is the source of this 95-nucleotide long non-coding RNA. RefSeq lists it as uncharacterized. The transcript is spliced from 3 exons. The record is from RefSeq and is a predicted model, not a curated record. NCBI's taxonomy places the organism in Eukaryota, Metazoa, Chordata, Actinopteri, Perciformes, Percidae.
CCAGGCCUCCUAUUCAACAACACCAGAUCGAUCACGCACAAAAUGGAUGAACUACAAAUACAUACGGAACUGCUGCAUGGUAUUUUGUCUGAACA